Herpailurus yagouaroundi (jaguarundi) is the source of this 377-nucleotide long non-coding RNA. RefSeq lists it as uncharacterized. The transcript is spliced from 2 exons. The record is from RefSeq and is a predicted model, not a curated record. NCBI's taxonomy places the organism in Eukaryota, Metazoa, Chordata, Mammalia, Carnivora, Felidae.
UUGUUCCCAGGUGCGGGCAGCCUGAACCUCGUCACCUGGGGUUGCUCUGCUUCCCUUUUAAGGACAACCCGAUGUAUUUGCUCUGGCCCCCAGGAGGGUGCUCUGCUGUCCUGGGCCUGCACCCGCUGCACACACGCACCCACGCAGUCUUCCCGCUCCGUGCACCGUGACCAGAUGCCGGAAGCGGGGACGCCCGUCAUGCCGAGCUGGAACUGAUAACAGAACCACCUGCCCAGAACUAUGGCAGGGACCGUCAUCAAGCAGGUCAGCCGGAAACCCCGUGCCCCGGACUUAGCUUCUAGCUGUUCGUCAAGUAACAUCCGUUAACGCGUUACCGCCAAAGUCACCAUGUGAAAAUCAGGCAACGUGGAAAUGGG